UAGCCUUUGGUUGGCCUCCAGCAUGUGUCUGUGUGUUUGUUUGUUUGUUUUUGUUGCACUGAGUCAUCUUGUAAGAUACGAGCAACAUGUCCAGCCAGCAUCCCAAGCUGCCUGUUUCAGACACUACUCAUGUUGUUACUGAUAUAACCAUCUCAUAAAAAAAAAGAGGGAUCAUUCUCAUCUUCCCCAUUAAUGCCUGUCUGCUUUUGAGAUCCUUAAGGGAAAGAGCCGGGUUUGUAAUACAGCUACCUCUGCUUCCCCCUUUACCUCAGACAACUGCAUCCUUGCACAAAGCACACAGUGGAGAUGUGCAGGGAGAACACCCCCUGGUCUGUAUUCCCUCCUCAUGUGCUGGGAUUUGAUGAGCAGGGACAUGGUGCUCUUCUGUCUGCUGGACCUCAGACACCUGAGGAAUGAUGGUGGCCGGAGAGCUGAGGGACGUGAGGGUGUCUGGAAGGGACGCACACUGCCGGGUCCUUGGGGUGAGGGCAAGAGUGAUCUCUUCCAGGUUACAUCUUCCAGAGGCUGAGGGCUGCUGUGCGUGCUGUUUCCAAUGGGACCGACCAUCUGCACCGGUGCUUGCUGUGACGUACGGGGAGGUGAGGCUCUGAGGAGCACCAGCGCUGCCUGCUGCAGGCUGGCUUGUCUGCUUUGCUGGGGACUCCAGCACGCUGACUUGUUCUGUCUGACAUGGGACCAGGAGGAGUUGUGUUGUCUGACCACAAGCUCUCAAAAAUUGCAUCUGUUGUUGCAGGAGGUGACAAGAGGAAAAGCAAAGCGGAGGCAACCUGCUCCUUCCAGAGAUCUGCAGCAGAUCAUGAGGUUGGACUGCAUCCCCAGAUUGUGGGCCAGUUGUGAGCCAAGUGUUUCUAUUGGCCAUGUUGUGAAUCCUACGGGAACUCCCUGGAGAUCACACCAAGUAGUUGAGCUUUACAAGUGUGAUGUGAAUUCAUUGCUAUCCUUAUGAUCUGACUGAGUGACCCUUUGCUUGCCAGCGUAUCAAUGCUACUUGUGAAACCCUAUCCUCCAUCAGGGCUCCCUUACUGCUGGAUUGUUUUGUUAGAAUUGGAUGACUUGUCUUCUGUCUCACAGCAGCCGUCUCUUUUGUUGGAUGACUUGUCAGCUGCUGUCUGACGUCCAUGCUGCCAUUCCUUCCUCUCUGCCAAGAGAGCCGUUGCAUUACAGCAUCAGUCACACCUCUGUGCAUACAACGCCACUGAUAAAUUGCAGUCUGGCUGGAGCAGGAGGCAUGGUCCCGAGACAGCCCUUUUGAAGGUCUGCCGUGAUCUCUCUCUGCUGGCUGACUCGGAGCCUGUGUGGUGUGGUGGAAGAGGGGAUGGAUUUGGAAAGAUGGAGUUUCGGGGUUCCAUCUGGAAGACAGAGCUCCACAACUCACCCUAUUUGCAAACACACUACUCCAAGAUUUCAACAGACAAGCCAGCCUUUGGCAGGAAUAAACCUGCUGUGCUGAUUGCUCAGAAAACCUCCCCUGGGGACAGUGGAGACCAUGGAAACACAAUACAGGUGUCCUCAGUGAUGGGCUGCUAGAGGUGGAGAGACCCCUCAGGGAGAAAUGCUGCUGGAGAGACCAACACCAGAGCUCAUGGCCCUGGGAUGGCAAUGAACCCCAGAGACAGGCUCUUUGGAGAACAUCUCCUUUGCUUUGAGGCUGCACCAUCACUUGGAAAAUGAGAUGAGGACGGAGUCCUGCAUAAACGGAGAAUUCCGUCCUCUCAAGCAGCAGCAGCUGGUCUGUCUAAGGGUGAUCUCACAGCCCACAUUUUCUGCUCUGCCAUGGAUGCAGAGGGUGAGUGCCUUCCUCAAGCUCCCUGUCCUCUCUCGGGAUCCACCCUGACCACAGGAGCAGUUGCAGAGGUAUGUGGUGUGGAGCAGAACCCGUCAUUCACGACAGGACCCUGGCCGGCUGAGGACAGCAGCUGCAGGAGUACAAGCAUUGUCUGAUCUGAUGGGGAAUGUAUGGUGACUUCAGACAGGACCAAUGCUGUGGAUCGUGUGAGCCGGGCAAUUUUGAUCAGCAAAGCUGUUUCCUGCUGAACGGCUUUCCCACAGCCGCAGAGCUUCUGCCCUGCCGGUUCCCCUGGCCUGCUCCAAGAAGGAAACCCUAGAGAGGAGGCAUCAUUCCCAGCUCUCCUCAGGCGCAUUUGCUGUUUGGCAGAGAAGAUGGGACAAUCCUCCAGCCCCAAAGAAGAGUAUCUUUGAGCUCUUGCUAGAAGACCGGAUCUCUCCAUGGCAGCAGAUGUGGGACUAAGUGAAGAAUUCCAUUUACUUGAUGGUUUUAGCCAUGGAAAACUUCAUAGAAAUGCUCUAAGGUGCUUUUUAACUGCAAGUGUGUAGUAGGAUUUGUGACACCUAACGAAGGGACCACAGGAGAGUCUCAGCAGCAGAGUAAGUUCCCAGGCUCUGGUAGGUCUGUGAUGAUGCCUUGGGCUGCAAGCCACAUUCUCACCAGGGCUGUCACUUAUAAAUGAAACAUCUCAGCAGCACAGAUCUGAUCCAGGGCUGGCUUCAGCUUCUGCUGUGUUAUUCGUGAGUAUGCAAAAGCUCUGAAAAAUGUGACAGACUUUGGUUUAGGUUCUCAGCUCAACAUUGCUUCUCAUGAGAUGGAGUAUGAGCGUGUCCUCGUUAACACAGGAAUGUAUACACUGGAAGCUGUGAGAUAAUGGCAUAUAUACAGGGAAAGUGAAGUCUUUGCUGUUCUGCUCUCAGUGGGUUUGUUUUCACUUCCCUCCCAACAGCAGCACUUUGCUGACAAACUACAAGCAGUCACAAACCACGGCAGUGUGGUUCAAAUCAGCCUGAAAAUGUUUUGCCCCAGAAUUGCUUUUGCUUGGUGUUUUGCAAGAGGUCAUUUCCUUGUGGGCAUGGAUGAUUAGAAGCCCCUCCAUGUGUGCUUUGCCAAAGUGAGCACUCAACAAAGAGUUCAGCUGAAAAUUUGGCUCUUGUUCCCUUUUUAAGCAAUGUGCUCAGCCCUCUUGGGUAAAGAUCCACAGGGGCUCAGCACCAUCCCUAAAUCCUUAAAGAGUUUUGGCCUGGCUGCUGUGGGUGACUCCCAUGGACAGACAGGACACUCUCUGCAGAGCUGUAAUUUCUCUAACAUACUUGGGAGCCUCUGCACUUUCCUAAUGGGACAGGAUUCAGUCUUGUUUCCUGAGAAGUAAGUGGGAGUUUUCCUGUUGAUUUCCAUGAAAGCUGAUCUGGGAGUGCCAUUUAUAUGAAGGGAGCUGCUGUGCCUUGGGUCCAGCCUUUCCCACAUCCAUAGCAACUGGCCUCUGCUUUUUAAUGCUCUGUUCACAAAUAAACACUUUGUCGGGGGUGGGGGGGGGGCAAAUGAAGCCCAAAUCUGCACUGGGCUGUCCCAGCCAUGCAUGUGCUGGGUGAGAUGUGACGCAUCUUGUGACACAUUUGCUUCUAGCAAAUAGGUCUAUCUGGCCAUGCCCAAGCUGAGGAAUCUGGUCUGGGUGCUUGUUUUGGCUGUUUCUGCUCUCCACAUGAAGUGCAGACCUGGGUGUGCAGCAUCCCCAUUGUCUCUGCCUCCAAACCCCUGUGCCUGGGACGUGCUGCAGCCUUGAAGGUGCCUUAUGUGGGUGCUGGGGAUGGAGCCCUGAGCUGUGCUGUGGCACCCCCAGCAGCCAAGAGACACAACUGGCGGUGCCUGGUGCAGAUGUGAAAACAGCAUCUGUACAGAUCCUGCCUCUGUGUCCCAAGCGCGUGUGAUACUGCAGCUUCAAGCACCCACUUAUGAGGACAGUGCUGGCUGCUCUGCAUUAGCUUGGGGAGCUUUUCUGUCCCAGCCUUUCCCUGGGGAGAAGAUGGUAGCAGCUCGCAAUGCAUUUUUGGUUUAUCAGUGGAGAGGUACCUGUAUUGAAGAGCAAAGUGUUAUUGCUCUUGUACGGUCCUGGUUUUGAUAACACCAGAUGGGUUUGAAGUAAAUAGAGUUCCUAUGUCAAACACAAGUAAUAGCUGAAAUACAUGUAUAUGAAGUGCUAUGAGUUUUAUUUACUGAAAACUAGUGACUCGCAACGGAUUCCUGCAGCACUAGUUGGAUACGUGACAGGGAGAUCAUUGAAAAGGUCACCAUUGGUUUGAAAUGAAGGCAAUGAAAAAUGAGUGUCUUGUACUAAAACUGUUCCUGGAGAUGUUGGCCAAGUAUUGCAGUCUUGCUUUUCUAUUUUUAAAACUCCCUUGCCAGCUGCAAUGUGACCCUUCCCUCCACACCCACAACAGAAAAAAACCUUAAUGAUUAGAAACAGGAAGUAAUAAAACUCACUAACCACAAACUAUUUUUAAAUGUACAAAGUAAACAAGCAGAGAUGGUGAGAAAUACACAUUUCCCACUGAUCUCUUUUCAGCACGGUAACCAUAGAUGAUAAUUAUAGUCACUGGCGAUUUACAGCUUUUAGGGGGAAAGUAUGUUUUUAAGUUGAUACUGUCAAACCGCAGUAAAAUAUUUUCAUCACAGCCUCUCCCAGCACAACAAUGAAGUGGCCACAAGUGCCAUGAGAUUCAUUACUGACACUGUCUAGAAGUAAAUGAAAACUUCAGGCCCCAUCUGCUCCUCUUGCCUCCCCAGUGAUGGGCAGACCACAGCACUGGUUAGCGGAGGUUCCUCUGGUGGGAGCAGCCAGGGGCACACAUGUGGCACAGUGGCUUUAUCUAAACUCAGCAAUAUGCAUGAUGAUAGAGGGGGAAGGUCUUUAAUGUCUUUUCUCUUCCAGGAUUUUGCAGUUUGCUUUGCCUGAAUGAUUUUCCUACCCCAUUUCUACAGCAAUUAGAACUGGAAUCUCCUACAGCUGCACAGGGUUAAUAAUAAAAAGCAGAAGAGAUUGGCCAUUUACCCUGUUACGCAAUGAGGUCAUCUCAGGGGCUUAUGUGAGAUCUGAAAGGUAAGCUUGAUGCCAGGGAGGGUCCUUGCUUGUUGGCUUGUAUUUUUAUUAAUAGGAAGUCAAUUAUUUUAAGAAUGUAAGACAAGAAAGCUAUGUAAUUAAUAUACACUAAAGAGGAUGAGAGAAUUCUAUACAAUAAUUUAGAUGAUUAAAUAAAUAAAAAAAUAAUAGCAGCCUUCUACAAUGCAGGCUACACAUAGGUUUACUUCGGCUUGAAGUACCCUGGUCUUUAGUACACCUACAGGAGCAGACUUGCUCCACAAGUGUUUUAAAGAAACAUAUCUAUAAGAUACAUACAUAAGAGUGUCUAAGGUUAGGAAAAACAUUUUAUAACGCAAUUUACCAUGGCCUCCACAUAUCUAAUGACCCCAUUCUAGGGUUGUUAUGGGAAAAAUUUGGCUGCAGGACCUGUCUGGGAGGUGCAGCAUCAACCUGGCUGAAAACCGACAGUGAUGGCAGCUGGAAGGAAUUUUUUGAAGCUUGCUUGUUCUCUGCAGGGUAGAAGCGCUCCUGUGAUGGGUUUGUGCCCCGAGUGCUCCCCUUAGAGCUCAGUGAGCUUUUUGGCAUGAGGAGAGGCUGCUGAGAUGGGCUCGAAGACCUUAAUGCUGCUUUGCAGGUGUCUUCGCCAGACCUGGGUAAGGAUUUCAGCAGGUGGUUCAGCAGGCGUGCCCCGAGGGUCUUGUCCAUCCACUCACAGGUGAGGAGGAGGUUGUGCACCUCAUGCAUGCACUGGAUGUACCCGGUGCUGUACCGCUGCUGGGCUUCCAGCCCCACUUUGGAGUCGGCUAUGUUGGAAAGCAGACAAGGGGAGUUGGUGAGUGAGUAAAAGCUACCGGGUGUGUUCUUGAUUAAAAGGCAGGUUUCCUGUGUGCACAGGCUCCUGGGGGCUCCUUGCUGAAGCCCACUGGGCUUUACCAUCAGGUGAAUCAUUUGCAGGGUGAAGGUGAUGCAGUGUGCAAGCCCCUGCAUCCUCCUGCCCACCACCAAGGGCAAAACUUAGAUCAAAAAGCAGAGAGCAGCUCUGGAAGGAAAAACACCUUCUGUGGGUUAACCAGUGCCCAGCUCCAUCUCCCCAUCUAGUGGAGAAAGCCAAAGCCGAGCAGCAGCCUGGGCCUCAAUAGGUUUGAAAGAUGCUUUUGCCAAGGUGCCAGUGAUUUAAACCUGCUGGCACGCUCAUACCCCAGUGCUGCCCACGCUCACAGGGUGGGGGGACCGGGCACUCACCCAUCAGCUUGCUGCUCUGGAUGUUCUGGAGGUGCUUCACCGUCAUUUCAAGGAUGUCUGCUUUUUCUAGUUUAGACUGCUGAUAAGGAAAGAGUGCAGCAGGUAGAGGCAAUGAAGGGUUUUUUGUACCAUGCCCAGUUUUUCAAAACAGAAAUCCAAUCCCCCACCAGUAAAAGGACAAAAAUCUGCGUAAAAAUGAGCACUUACAUCCAGAUGAAAUGCGCCCACAACAGUCUCCUUCAGCUGGUCCAAGCAGUUAUUAAUCCUUUCCCUUCGCUUCCGCUCAAUGAGUGGUUUCCUUAACUGGCAGAGGAAAGAAAAGGAGGAGGAAAAAUUUGAGCUGGUAUUUUUUCUUCUUCUCCCUACUGCAGUUCAGCGAGGGCAGAGAGCCCCAUCCCCUGUGUGAAGCCAGCGUGGGGUGACACGAUGCUUGGCAGGGACCAGAUAGAUAUGGAAAGUGCUCCAUCUCUGGCUCCGGUCACAACCUGUCCCUGAGGUGGUAUCAGUUCUCAAUUCUCCUGCUUCUGCUCAUUUUAAGCAGAGUUUACCCAAAUGAAGCAAACAGAAAGAAAACUUUCUGAGGCAGGAAAAGGAAACAGAAAAAACACCAAUAUGGGUUAAAUUCAGAGAAAGCAUCUUUAUAAUGAGAAGAAAAACAAUUGCUCCAUUUCUCAGUGCCUGUAGCCCCGGCACUCACCAUUCAUGUGCCCAGUGUGGCUGCGGUCACAGCAGGGCACAGGGGACCUACCUUUCUCUCCUCCUUGGUGCUGGCCAGCUUGUGGGUGCCGCUGGCAGAGGCUGCGGCGGUCAUUGCAAUCCAGGCUGCCCUGCUGCCAGGAGGACGGGACACAGGCACUCGGGCAGUGGGUCGCUCCCUUUCCCAGCGGGCUCUUUGCUGCUCCACUGCUGCUCUCUGCUGUAUUUAUAACCCAAAAUUAGCAUGUGAAAGGAGAUUUUCCUUGGCGGGACUUCUUUUCCCACAUGAGGGGUCGAGCCCGGAGGUUUGUGGCCAUCAAUCAAAGCUGACAGGUCACUGCUUCUUUUCAAUGACCACGCCAGCCCCCCCAAAUGGCGACAGAUGUCCAGCCUCCGACGCCAGGCUUUGGAGGGCUCUUUUGUUAGGGAAGAAGGGAAGGAAAAUGGGCGCGCUCUGAGCAGCUUGCAUGGCUCCUCGCGCAAUUUGCACAGAUUCCCAGGGAGGGAAACAAUAGCGGGGAAGCGGUUAAGUUACACCUGGGAAAAUGCCUGCCUUCUAUGCAUCUUUUCCCCCUCUAUCUCUCUCCUUAAAGCAAUGUCUGUUUUUACCUGUUAACUUGAGCCCCAGCCAUUUUGCUUUUUUGAAGCAGCCUCUUCAUUUAAUAAUAGAGUACUUGAGCUAGGAGUUCCCCCUCCCAGGAAUUGUUAUUACAAGGUAAUGAUGAUCGAUUAAAAACUGUUGACAGCAGACACCCAUAGGAAGGUAGUUCCCAUCACAGCAAUCCUCUAGGGAAAACAUGGGAACUCUCUUUACCUCUGGAAACCCUAAUUCUCCUUUGCACACAGCUGGAUGUAGGAAAUACGUAACUCUUCUAGUUUUUGGCUGCUGUGUAGACUUUAAUAUUAAACUUACAGGCCACUGCAGAUGCAAACAAACCUAGAGCUGAGUUAGUUCUGUGGGAUUUUUACUGCCUUGUUUUUUUCCCCUGUGCUGCAAGGACUCUUGAGUGGCUUUGGGGGGAAGGCUGUUUUUUGGUUUGCCCCUCUGAAAUGCUGGUGCAGAAGCAGCUGGGCCUUCGGAGGAGAUUUGGCACAGGAUGAGAAUGCACUUUUGUGCUUCCUCACUUCUGCCUGGUCUGGGAGGCGGGAGCAUGAAGGCUUUUUUUCAUGACUAUGCUUUUGCUUUCUGAUGGUCACUUUGCUAAUGAGCAGGAUUUGGCAGUGUCCUGUUGAGUCCCAUGGGUGAAGCCCUUUGGGUUGGUGUCAAAUGUGUCACCUUAUUGAUGCAGAGAAGAAGCAGCCGCAGUGGUUCAGAAGCACCGCGAGCCGCCCCGACCCACCACUGGGGUUUCCCAGCACCCAGCGCAGCCCGGCAGCGGCAGAGCCCUCUCUCCCCUCCAGCCAUGGGUGGGGAUGUACCCCAGCCAUAAAAGCCAGGACAUCAUGUCCCUUGCUUAAACACCGCGUGGGUGUGUGUUUGCUUGCGUGUAAAUGCAAACAUACUUGUGGCAUGUCUGUACACCCGGCUGCCUGGGCUCAUCGUGAAACCCUGUCCUCAGCCGUGGUAUCUUCUUGCAGGCAGAGGUUGUUUGUCAGUCAAACGCAGAGCUAGGGUGCAGCUACCUGGUUGUAUAAGCAUCCUACUUGGCAAGGGAUCAUGAGGGUGAGCCUGAGAUGGGCUGGUGUGGCUGUUGCGCUGGGAGAGGAGGGUUUGGGAUGGGAAGGUUAAUAACUUGUCCUGUGUACCAGAUAAAGGGAUGGGCUCCUUGUCUCAGGUGCAGCUGCACUCAGACAGUGAAAGGAGGUCCCCACCACCUCUCACAUCAGCCAGCCCUGGCUGCACACAGGUGAAGACUCCUUUGGUUUUUCAAGCUUUUUCCAGCCCAUGAGGGGAAGUGGUGAGUUGCCGGUAUUAUAAAAGGCACAGCUGAGGCAUCCAUGUUGCUGCAUGACUCCAGCAGCUCGGCGUGGAAGGGGCAGCAGGUGGGCUGGGGUCAGGCUCUGCCCUGUGCGUGGCAGGGGGUGCAGAGUGGGGGCACCCCUGGCUCUGGGCAAUCUGCUGGGGUGCUCGGGGCUGGAAGUGUCUGCCCAUCAGCUGGGCACACAGCUUUUGUCUGGGUUCAGCUGGUGGAUGGGGAAGAGUAGUCACCCCCUGCCCCCCCCAAAACACCCCUCCACCACCGGCACCUUGUGCAGAAAGAGGCACCUUCCCAGGGCGGCAGGGGGAAGCCUGAGACCAUCUUGGCUACUGACCCAACUGAGCAUUGCAGAAGUGUCAGAAAAUGCAGAACUGUCUAAAAGCUCUGAAAAACACGUCCAGUGCCUGUUGGCAUCGCUCCCUGGCCAGGCAUGGCUGCAGGGUGCUGUGUGUGCCCUCCCCCAGGGGCUCCCCAGCACCACCAGGAAAGGUCUCUCUGGUCUCUGUGAUGGUGGCACCUCCUCCCUCGCCCUCCAUUUCCUCCUUGGCCCGGAGUUGCUGCUUCUGCCUCACCCUCCCUCCUGCUUUCCUUGUCCUGCAAGAUGCUGCCGAGCUCCUAGGAGAGCGGGAUGCUCUGUAGGAGGGUCACACACGGGCUUCCCCUGCAAAGCGGUUUCCAUGAGGCACGCAGCAGGCAGAGGGGUGCUGGUGUCAAGGCAGUGGGUACUGGGGACAGACGGGUGUGAUGGGGGGGCCAAGAACAAUGUGGUGGCCACCGGUGCCCAGCCGUGAUCUGUACCCAGCCUGCCACGGGGCAGCUGAGCCCCAGGCUUGACGGGACGAGCCCUCAGGCAGCCCUUGGCUGGUGUCUGCUCCGGGUGAGCUCAUUUCAAGGUUCAUUUGUAAGACAGCACCAUGGUGAAAAAGAAGGGCAGCUUUUGCUGUAAACAGUUAUUUUACACCUCUCAGUCAGGGCAAAGGCCUUUAUUUUGGAGGCAGGAGGGGUGCGGGCGGGAACACUGCCCUGGCUUUGGGGGAAGGCUGACAUCUGUGCUGGGGAUUGUGGGGACCCAACCGGCCCAUGCAAAUGAGCAUUAAAGGGAGCUUUCUGCAAAUUCCUGCUUUCCUUUUGCAUUGGCCACUGCCAGGUUUCCCUGAAAAGGGGAUUCUCCUUCAUCAACAAAGCCUGCCUUUUUUUCCUGGGCUUUCUGAAGAAAAAAAAAAAAAAAAAGGAAAAAGAAAAGGGUCAGCACUGCCUGGAGUUUUCUUUUUUUGCUAUUUGUCUACAUUUCACACCCUGGAGAAAGCAAACAACUUUUAACAUCUGUUCCUGCACUUUUUAAGAGGGAAAGAAAGGCUCUUGAAAAAAGGGAAAGUGUGGCAGAUGUUGGCAGGUUCCCUCCGACGCAGAUGUCUUGCUCUGAAGAAAACUUUCUUUGGGGCUUGGCGGCCAGGGCUCCUCUUUGACUCGGGACACGCGACUGCCUAGCGAACGAAGGGACGUGGGAAAGUGCUGGUGAACAAAAGGGGUUAUUCAAACAAACCUGAGAGCCGUGAACAAUCUAAUAACCAGCAGAGAAAUGGUCAGCGGCCCCCAGUCCUACUGGGGAGGGGUUCAGGGCAGCCAGGGGCCACGGGAUGAGGGAAUUUUGCCACGUCCUUAGGGCUGUGAGCAGCAUUGUCCCCUCCUUAGCCCUGUCUGCUCCCUCUGGGUCAUCCAACAUGGUGCUUUGGCCAAGGACCAUCCUUCUCGAGGUGCUAAAUGCUCUCAGCUGGUCUGUGCAGGAGCUGGCUGCCCCAUGGCCGAAGCAGGGGAGAUGGAAGGCAGGUACCUGCCAGCCUGGGCUGUCCCAAAUGCACCAGCCAAGGCAGCGCAAGAAACCACAGGACAGAAAGGAUGUGGCAGGACACAGCAUCAUGGUAGACAAAUUUUACUUUUAAAUAGGAGGUUCUGAAAAGAUAAUAAUUAAAAAAAAAAAUAAAAUCCCAACCCUAUUGAUUAGGACCCAUUGAAAGAUCCUUGUGAAACUGAUUUUGAGGAAAGAUUUUUUUUUUUAAUGGAAAGCAAAAAUAUCGAGGAAAAAAGUAUUUUCUGUGAACCUUUUCUUCACCCUUUCCCCUUCUCUCUGGCUAAUAAAAUAAAAUGUUUUAAAAUAAGUUUUUGCUAUGAAAGCUGGUAAUAUUUCAGUUUAGGCACUUCGUAAGAAAAGGUGAGAAGCCAAGAGAAAAGGGAGCAGAGCCAAGAAAAUUCCUAUAAGAAAGUAAUUAAUUCCAGUUUGCUGUUAAAGCCAAGGAGCUCUGUGAUGAUUCCUCUGAUUCCUGCAUGCUUAGUUCUGCCCCAUUUCUGUCCCAGUCUGUUUUCUCUGCAGGAAGGAUGCUGCAUGUCACCAGAGACCCGUGUGCCUGCCCAGGCUGCUCCCUCCUGUCUCUUGCCACUCGGGGCGAUGCUGUGGACACCAGCUCACAAGCUGGCAGGACUACCUGGUGGGCAGCUGCCAGCUGGGUGGAGGGGAUGCUCAGGGUGUCCUGCCUCCUCCAGCCCUUCCAGCUGAGAGUUGUCCGAGAGCUCAGCCCUGAUGCAGCAGAUGCCAUCCAUGAAGAGAUGUGGGAUCUAAGGCACCAUCAGAGCUUCCAGCAGGAGCAGCUGCGGUUGUGGUGGGGAAGGCUGCUCCAGAGACCCUCUGCAUUGAAAGGUUGUAUCUGUUAAAUCCUCGAGGCCGGGGUGACGCUGCCUGUACCGGGUCAUGGUUUUUGGCAGAGAACUGCAAGGCAUUGUGGUUUGUGGCUGCGUGAGAUUUGUGUGGCAAGUGGGGAAGAGGCAGAAGGGAUCUGGAGAUGAGUCUUGAUGUCUGUGGUUGAGUGGUGGCCUAUUAAAGCAAUGUCCUACACAAUUCACCAUGGUGUAGGCAGGGCUAGGAACACAGUUGAAGGUUCACCUGCUCCAGAGACACAGGUGGAGAGAGAGAGAGGACAGUGCUACCUGCAGUAUUUUCAUCAUAGGGGGAGUCCAGCUUCAGAAGUGGCAUUGGACAUUUUCUGGAAAUGUCACUGAUGUUUCUUAAUCCAGCUCCUUUACUGAGUGCACCAAACCUUGCUAGCCCUAGCUCGGCUUCCUCAGUACCAGCUGGCUCUACCACCUUUGGGAGUGGACUCCUGGGAUAGGAAAUAAUUACAUGGCUCAUACCAGCUGAGUAACUCUCAGCUUUUCUUUCGCAGUGCCCUUCCAGCCUUCAUGUUAAGGAUCAGCUGAUGCUCCUGCCAUUGCUCAAGACAUCUCCUGUCUGGCAGGUUAGCAGUGCUCCCAGCCCCAGAGGAUGCCUUAUCUACUGCUUCACAGCCAGAAAGCUGCUGCUUGCAACAUGGCUCCUGAGCCAAGAGGCCUUAUAGGAAGAAGAAAAUCUGAUAAGCCAUGUAGGUGGUGACACACUGAUAAGGGUUAGCCCCUCGUGUGGGCCAAAGCCAUGGUACGAGGGGCGAGAGGUGGGUGUUGUGGAGAGGGUGUAGGGGGCUUUGAGGGGCUAUUCAGGGGGGUUCUUGAACUUUCCUCACCAGGCACCCUAGAAGUUGUUUCAUUCAGUAGGGUAGAUCUGGGAUUUUUCACACUCUCUCUAUGUGUAACGUUACCAGAUGUCCCCUGAUAACAAGCCUCAUCUAUAAGGCAGCAAGCACUUGGUUUGUUCAGUAACCUUCAUGUGCACAGCAAUGCCUAUGUGGGUGUCUGGCUCCCCAAAUACCAGAAACUGGGGCUCAGCACCCCAACCCCAGCUCCUGUACAUGGCACACAGUGUGUUUCUUCUUAGGUUCUCUGUUCCUGAAGCUGCAGAAGGGUCUGGGUUAAGUUUCACCUUUGUGAGACAAAUAUCUCUUCUGUGACUGUAAAUGCGGCUUUGUCCCGGCUUGGCCACGUGCCAGUAGCAGCUUUCUUUUUAUAGUACAUGUGCAUACGUGUACUGACACCACAUCCUGACCCCCUGACACAAAAUAUCUCAUGAGGAUGAUCAAGGCAGCGAGGCCAUCACCGUGGAUGCUCUGCGGGGAGGGUGACGUGCAGCCCGACCACCAGCAUCUGGUCCUGGGCCACAGGGAGUGGCUGUUGCUGUGGGGCAGCAGGAUGGCUGGGGGGGGCGCUGGGCUUAGCAGCAGCAUUUCUUGCAUGCUGCUCAUUUCUGGUGCUGCAGGGCUGGGAUUGCAGCACCCCAGGAAGUGGGGAAAUACUUGGGGUUUUUUUCACUUGCUGGUUCAGUCUCUGUGCAGCCCGGCUGCUGAGGGGACAGCAGGACAUACAAGGGUUUGGGAUGGGAGGGCAUGAGCCACAGGGUCUCUGGUCUUUGUGAGCCAAGUCUGACCUGGAUUGUACAUGAUAAUCACAUCCUUCUCUCUAAGCUACUUUUAAAAAAAAUCUUUAUUUUUAUACCUAAAUUUUUCACCUAUCAAAGCGAGACAAGUUUUAUACUGCUUUUUGUUUUAUAGAUACUCUCUGGUUUUAACCUUCUCUCUCUCUCCAAUUCCCCUACUUGUUUUUUUUCCCUCUUCAAAUAUCUGCAGGAGGCUCUCUUUUUUUAUUUUAUUUCUCUGGAGGAACCAAAGGGGGUGUAGGAAGUCCUGCUAGCUCUUGGGGCACACUUGCUCAGUGCAAGAAAGACCAGAGCCCCGAUGGGGUGAAGAGCAGGUGGGUGAUGCUCCACGGGCUGCUCUGUGAAGGGCAAAAGCAGAGCUUGCUCUUGCUUCAUCUUCUCCGUAACAAGGCAUGUAAAAAUAAUAACAGAAACCCCCCUGCCGCAACCUUUUUUUUCCUUGUCUAUUUUUAACACCAGGGGCUGUGCCCUGGGUUUGCUCCAUCAGAAAGCAAAAAGGGCCAUGACACAUGUGAGCUCUCCAAGGAGUUUUCCAGAAGAACACUUGUGAUCAGCUGAGUGCUCUGUUGUGUUUUAAAGGUGAUGUUUCCUCACUUCUCACCAUUCCUGGUGUGUGCGUAUACACAUGCACAGACAGCAACUUGCUUGCACACAGAACAUUUUCAGAAGAUACAAAUUUCACCACAGAAUAUAAAUUAACUCUCUUUUGGAGGUGAAUCCGGCUGAGCUGGGGGAAAGGGGCUCAGCCUUUCCCCAAACCAGUGCCCGGCUUGGAAGGUGGGGACGGGCAGAGCUCCGGAGUGCCCUUCUCCUCCAGAGCCAGGGAUCCCAUCAGGAGGAGGAGGAGGAGGAAGAAGAGGAAGAUGACAGGCACAGAAAAGCUUUGAAGAGUCUCAGGGAAGGUACCUGCAUGUAUCUGCUGGAGUGGCCCAAUAUAGAUUUUAGUGUCAAGUGGUAUGGCAAUGGUUCCUGUGUUGACUCAGCCCCACGCAGCUGAGACCCCAUCCAGCUGAAGAGCAGCACUAAGCCUGUGUUGAACAGGGUCAUUGCAGCAGUUUUUGGCUGUAAGAGCUAAUUAAUUCGUUUCUGCAAAGUCCUUUGAAGGAGUAAAGUACUAAGUAAGUGCAUAGCAGCAUCAUCCAGAGGGUGUGGGCUUCAAAGCUUAACAGGCACUACUUAAAUAGAACCGAGUUACUAAACUGGGUUCAUAAUUUCUUUAAAAUGUAAAAUAACAGGGAAAGCAUCUGAAAAAAAAAAUAAAAGAAAACAACACCAGUUUUUUUGGUAGUGUUGAGGCUGAGGAAGACUCACUAAAAGAAGCCAGCUCCCCAGAGGAUGAGCAAUUGUCUUCCAGUUCCCCUUCCCUGGCUUUCAACCUUAACCUGCUGACAUAAUCAGGAAAAACCUUUAUCCUUCCAUAAUUUUCCAUUUUAGAAUUCAUUCAGUAAAAGCGAGAGAAUAGAAGUGCUGAGAAAUAUAGAAGAAGAGCAGUCCAUUUAGGAAGAUCAGUGGGUAAAUUCAUGUUGGUGGAGGCGGUUCCUGCGGCACCUCUGCGGGAGCUCAGCCUCUGUUCCCAAAGCCUCAUUAAAUCUGUGGGUGGCAGCCAGCCCUGGCGUGGACACGUGGAGUGUGGCCGGCUCACUGCCAUGAUGCUCCUUCAGGCAUGUUGGGUGACCAGCGGAGCAAACUGUCACCUACCGAGAGCACCCAUGUGGGCAGGGUGAAAACUGAAGGCUCCUGCCAAUAUACGGAAUAUCCUUUUUAAUUGUUUUAGCAGUGUUCACAGCCUUGUGCCUUUCCUGCAUGAUUUGUAGAUGUAUUUGCUUCCUGUCCAGUUGAAUUAAUGGAUAUAUUUUACUGUUUUAUGUUUUGUUUUGUUGUUAACUCGGGAAAUACAUUCUUCUAUGGUGCUAUUUUUCAGGGUGACUUCUGUUAUUUCCUUCCUGUUUACCGAGCUGAUGGAAAUCUGGUUUUGACUUUAGCCAUAGAUUCUUGCUGGAAUGGAUGCUGCUCUUUAUAGAUGACUCUCAAUUGUGCCACAGUAAUAAAGAGUUUAUUAAAAGGACCUAGUUCUGCAGAGCAAUAUACCGCUCUUCUUGCUGUCCAGGAAAGGAACUUGCAAUAGUUUUUUUUCCCUAUGAUUCUUCUGGCAAUUUUUUUGUUUUCUUUUCUGACAAUCUUUACAUGCUUACACCCUUAGUUUUUGUGAUUUGCACUAAGAUUUAAAAAAUGUGUUUAAAUUUUGAAAUGGCACCUUGAAUUGAGGAUCAUAGCAUCCCUGUGAGGAAAAAAACAAACCAAACCAACAAGCCAACCAAAAACCAAUCAACCAAAAACCAAAAAAACCCAAACCAAAACAAACACAAACAAGCAAACAAAAAACAAACCACAAAUCCAUGGUUUGGAUGACAAUAAAAUUUAUUUGUGCUUUCUGCUGUAACUAGGUUUUGGAGGCUGUGAGUCUGUUCAUAAUGUAUGAAUUGAAUAAACUGAAAGGUAGCAAAAUGCUCACCCAGAGAUGUUUCUUUGGGAAAAGCUUCUAGAGUCUGCAGUGACCAUGCCUAGCCAGGAACGAGUGAAACGCAGUUUCAGGAACAGUCACAGGCACUUGUAAAACCUGGGUGAUUAAAUUCAGCCACUUCAGCUUGAUCCAAAGUCCACGGAAACACUCAGAAUUCUUUUUCUUCCAGACUUUAAGUAUAGGAUACCCAGCAUAAUAACUACAGUCAUCCCUACUCCUCAUAUUUUCUCCCCAAAGCCUUUUCCCUUUCACUUUAUCAGGGACCAGGAAUCCGGGCUCCAGUCUCUGAAUCACACCCGUGCAUGCCCAUGCCUGAUUAAAACAUAAACUAAUGUUUGUUA
Long non-coding RNA from Columba livia (rock pigeon), 15959 nucleotides. RefSeq lists it as uncharacterized. Lineage: Eukaryota; Metazoa; Chordata; Aves; Columbiformes; Columbidae. The transcript has 8 exons. The record is from RefSeq and is a predicted model, not a curated record.